RNAcentral lists this long non-coding RNA (887 nucleotides) under Mytilus galloprovincialis (Mediterranean mussel). Lineage: Eukaryota; Metazoa; Mollusca; Bivalvia; Mytilida; Mytilidae. The record is from RNAcentral.
GGACGCCGGACGACGACGACGACGACGACGACGACGACGACGACGACGCAGACGCCAACGUGAUAGCAAUAUACGACGAAAAUUUUUUCAAAAUUUGCGGUCGUAUAAAAAUUAAAGAAUGCAUGUUUUUAUUAAAUGAAAUAUUUCAACUUCUAUGGCUGAUCGCAAACAUGAAAAUAUUCAUGGUUGUAUUUAUAUGCAACUUGGCUACCUUGAAUAAAUAUCAGUUUAUAAGGUUGACAAAUGUUUUUUAAUGGCUAAAUAGAGCAAAACAAUAAAACAAUAUGGAUUUUGCCUCAUUGUAUAUUGAUUUUUUUUAGAUUCCGUCUGCAGUGAUAUAUGGUGAAAAUGACAGAAGAAACGACAAUUUACUUCCAAAUCUACAGAAACUUCCAAAAGCAAGUCUAUAUAAAGUGAAGGAUGCUAGACAUGCAGCUUAUUUGGACCAACCUGAAGAGUUUCAUAAAAUCUUAUACAACUUUCUGAGAUCCCUGGAAGCAGUUGAAAAUUCUGACUAGAUUUAUAUAAACUCAACAUUUUCAUUGAACAUUGAAAAUAGUAGAUUAUACCAAAUAGAUUAAAGUGUUGUUUUUUAACUUAUGAACUUUAAAAUCGUUUGCAGGAAUGAAUUUUGAAUACUUAUUAUUUCAUUGCCAUCAAUACCUUUUUACUUAACAUGGUAUGUAAUGCCUUUCAUUUUAAAACAUAUGCAUAUUUUGUAAGUUUUAAAAUAACCUCAAUGAAAGGGACAUAGACAAUUUGCAGCAGUGAAGCUUACAAGUACAUAUUAUGAAUAUGAUACAUCGGUUGCAUUCAAUUCUAAUUUACAUUGAGGGAUAGGUGCAAUUCUUUAUAAAAGAUUUAAAAGAAUUAGAGAUCAUAUAUGC